Molecule: ribosomal RNA, 255 nt
Filed under: Salmonella enterica subsp. enterica
Lineage: Bacteria; Pseudomonadati; Pseudomonadota; Gammaproteobacteria; Enterobacterales; Enterobacteriaceae
Description: partial 23S ribosomal RNA
Rfam family: Bacterial large subunit ribosomal RNA
Source: RNAcentral
CUGGAGGUAUCAGAAGUGCGAAUGCUGACAUAAGUAACGAUAAAGCGGGUGAAAAGCCCGCUCGCCGGAAGACCAAGGGUUCCUGUCCAACGUUAAUCGGGGCAGGGUGAGUCGACCCCUAAGGCGAGGCCGAAAGGCGUAGUCGAUGGGAAACGGGUUAAUAUUCCCGUACUUGGUGUUACUGCGAAGGGGGGACGGAGAAGGCUAUGUUGGCCGGGCGACGGUUGUCCCGGUUUAAGCGUGUAGGUGUGUGUU